CUUUACUGUAGCCUGGUAUUGGGUUCGGGCUUUGACUGCGCAGGAUAGGUGGGAGACUGAGAAGUGUGCCUUGUGGGGCACAUGGAGUCAACGGUGAGAUACCACUCUGUCAGAGCUAGAAUUCUAACCUUCACCCGUAAUCCGGGGAAGGAACCGUAUCAGGUGGGCAGUUUGACUGGGGCGGUCGCCUCCUAAAAGGUAACGGAGGCGCGCAAAGGUGUUCUCAGGCUGGUUGGAAAUCAGCCGUAGAGUGUAAAGGCAGAAGAACGCUUGACUGUGAGAGUGACAACUCAAGCAGGGUGGAAACACGGCCUUAGUGAUCCGACGGUAUGCGCGUGGAAAGGCCGUCGCUAAACGGAUAAAAGUUA
RNAcentral lists this ribosomal RNA (368 nucleotides) under uncultured organism. RNAcentral describes it as "bacterial LSU rRNA". It matches the Rfam family "Bacterial large subunit ribosomal RNA", at positions 2099 to 2465 of the family's 2925-position model. The record is from RNAcentral.